Long non-coding RNA from Brassica oleracea var. oleracea, 2343 nucleotides. RefSeq lists it as uncharacterized. The transcript has 4 exons. Lineage: Eukaryota; Viridiplantae; Streptophyta; Magnoliopsida; Brassicales; Brassicaceae. The record is from RefSeq and is a predicted model, not a curated record.
CAAAGGAGCUUCGGGCCUUCGGUGUGUAUCAUUUAUUACAUUUGAUUAGUUAAGCUCCAUAUUAAUUUUUUUUUGUUUCCUUUUCAAAAAGUUGAAGGCCGACGGUGAUCGGGAAUUUAUGUUUUACCGGAAUCAUAGCGCCGAUAUGUUGCUCCGUCCCGAUGAACUCAACCUCGAUCUCAUCAGAUCGCUCUGAUUCCGUUGAGUGAGUUCUCGGAAGCUGCAGUGAUGAAGAAGUAUGGAGUGAAGCCAGAUGCUGAAACCCUUGACAUUGAAACACAACCCUUGUGUUUGCUUUGCAGAUUAGCAUCAACACCAGCAAUGUUUAAUAGUACAUUGACUGAAGAUGAAUCAUUCUUGUACCCUGCUGAUGGGGCUAUCAUGAUAACAUGGGCUACAAGAGACGGUCUUCUGAGACACGUGUUACCCUUUGGCCGUUCAUCUCUUUGAGAAGAGAGAGAGAGAGAGAUGAAGCUAUCGCAUCGAUGGCGGAAGGGGCGAUGAUCCCCAACGAUUGAAGAAGAUUGCGGCGGCAGCCUAUGACUACGAUAACGACGCUCAAUGGAAGGAUUACUGGUCCAAUAUCCCGAUCCCUCCUCACAUGGCUUCUCCCCCCGAGGUCGUCUAGCACUACAAGUGCAAAUUCUACCAACGCUACAUGGUCCGUACUGUCUCCCCCCUCUUUAAACACUCUUGAAUUUGAGAUUUAAGUCUUCACACUCUUGAUUUCGAGUUUGGUUUGGAGAUUUUGCGUGAACUUUGAGAUCUUAGGUUGAACAAUUUGAAGUUUAGAUGUUCAUCUUUGUGUUUGCUAAUGCAAAUGAACAACAGGCUCGUUCGCGGAACUCUGGUGAAACAUUUAUAUAGUCAUUAAUUUAGUUUAUUCUUAUAUGGGAUAACGUUUCUUUUGUGGGCGAAACAUCCGUGGGUGGUAUUCUGUGUGAGGUCAGUAGCAAUUUUUGUUUUGUUAAAUGGACAAAAUCAUGGUUAAUUACAUUAAGCCAGAGAGAGCUCUUUGCCAAGGAAAUUCGCUUUCACCGUUUCAUGUCAGUGUGUUGCCUUACUUCAUAUAGUGGAUCACACAAAAAAAAAGUGAAUUUAAUUUAGCUAUUAGGUCUAUAAUAAAAAAAGUUUGAUGAAACAGUCAGUGGAGAAAUUGUGUUGUUGUUUCAGUUUCUUAUUGGGUUCCUCCGAAAGAAGGUAGAUUGCUGUAUUAAAGACUACAUGUUUCAGACUCAUGAAUAUAAUUGAUUCCCAUCUUGUGUCGAGCACUCGAACAAGUAGCCAAGUUCUUGAGGCGUAACUUCACUCGCUCCACCAUAUACAGGAAGUACUUGGAAGACCCUUGUGUGUGGGUGGAGUCAAAUACAACUACCCUCAACAUCCUCUCAUCGCAAGCUGAGAUAGCCAUUGGCUUCCUUCUGAUUACCUCUCUGUUCGCGUACGCUCUUUCUUCCUUUCAGAAGCGAUAUAAUUAGCUAUUGUCAAAAUGUUGCUUAGAACACUUCGAAAUGAAUUGAGUUCACAAUUGAAUCUUCUUUCAAUUUUUUUUUAAGAACCCUUAGUUAAGAUACUAGCAUUGGAGCACAUAAAUCUUGGUGUCUCUUAACUAAGUCUCUUAACUCACUUUUACUACUUAAAAAAUAUUAAAAAGUAACUAAGAGACCCUAAAAGGGUCUUUGGGUUAAUGAUGCUCUUACACUCUAAAAUCAUCACCCCUUUACGAACUCUCUAUAUCGUUAUACUCUUGUUAUAUCACGUAUGAAAAGGUUUGUCAGUAGAUAGCACAAUAAUGCUUUGUUACGAAAUCAAAACUGUUCAUCUCUUUUCUUCCACAUUUUCUUCGUUUAAUCUGUUGGUACCUUUUUUCUCUUCUCGCGAGAUCUCCACUGAAUUGUCUAGUUCACUCUCACCGGAAUCAAGUGUUUUUUCGUGUUAAGCUUCACUUGUCGUCGUCUGCAACCGCCUCCGACUCGCCAUGAACAUGAGCUUUGACUUCUUCUGUCAACCGUCGCGUCUAAAUGUAGAUUGUCGCGUCAAGUUUAUCCCUUUCACGGUCGUGCUUCACCCUUCACCUCUGUUUACGUCGAGUUCGAGACCGUCGCGAGAUUCACAUGGCUUACUCCUCUGUCACCGCAUCUUCGGCCGCCUUGCUCUAACGUCGUCGUCAUGCUCGGAAUCAAGCCUCGCCGUUGUGCUCAUCCUUGCCGCCGCCAUCUAGUUCGGCGAAGAGAAAGGUUGAUUUCUCCUGGUGAUUUUAUAUGUUUUUGCACAACAGGUCCCUGACAUUUUGGUUCUUUUCAAUUUCACUUUUGUAGAAUACGGUUUUUGUGAUUGUUUGAA